Molecule: RNA transcript, 3459 nt
Organism: Beta vulgaris subsp. vulgaris (sugar beet)
Lineage: Eukaryota; Viridiplantae; Streptophyta; Magnoliopsida; Caryophyllales; Amaranthaceae
Gene name: glycerophosphodiester phosphodiesterase GDPD4
Exons: 10
Source: RefSeq, a predicted model, not a curated record
AUCCUUGCUAACAUCUAGCAAUUAGAUGUUUAUCAUAGCACAAAGCUGGUGAUCACCGUGUAGGCAGGCCAGUACAUGCGACGGCGAUGAAGAGGAGACAACAGCCGCUCUUAGGAAGCGGGUGGCGGAAAGGAGAAUCAAAAUUCAAUUGGAGAUUUUCAUGGCGACGACUCGCCGGAAACUAUCGAUAUAUAAUAAUGCUACUGCUGGUCAUAGCUCUUGCUCCUCCCUUCUUCUUCCACUUACGUCUCACACGCUUUAAUCAGAUGCAAAAGAAGAAUUGUGGUUGGAUAAGAAACCCACCUCUCGUUUGUGCUCAUGGUGGUGACUCUACCAACGCUUUUCCUAACACGAGGGCCGCCUAUCGCAGUGCGCUUCAUUCUCGAGCAGACUGCAUUGAAAUUGACGUCUCUCUUUCAGCUGAUGGAGUCCUUUAUGCACUACAUGACAGGGAGUUGCAGCGGAUAUCUGGGAAUCAUACAUCUAGAGUUGGCUACUUAAGUGUCAAAGAAAUAAAUGAAUUGGAUGCAGCACCUCAGUUUCCGAAAGUUCUUGACGAUCAGAGAGUUCCCACUCUUGAAGAUGCUUUAAGGUUGGUGUCAGCUUCAGUAAGACAUGUCAUCUUGGACGCAAAAGUUGGGCCUCCAUCUUAUGGAAAAGGUCUUGCUGAGAAUAUUUUAGCUGUUGUCAAGAGAACAGAUUGCACAAAUUGCAUGAUAUGGGCAAAAAGUGACACUUUAGUGAGGGAAGUUAUUAGACUCUCACCAAACACAACGGUUGGAUAUAUUGUUAUGAAAGAUCCAACAACUGGAUCUAGAUCCAAUUUGCUGAGGAUGAAAAAGGCAGUGGUCGUUGGGGUUUACCAUCCACUAAUUGAUGAAAAGCUUGUCCAAAUUCUUCAUGGGAGAAACAAAAAGAUCUAUGCAUGGACGGUCGAUGACAUGGUUUCCAUGAUGGAUAUGUUAACAAAUAGUGUCGAUGCUGUUGUCACCAGUAAUCCAGCUCUUCUUCAGCAGCUCAUGCAAGAUACUAGAAUUCAGUGUCUUGAAGAAGGUUUUUCUUUGCCCUGAUGAUCAUGAUGCAGUUGAGUUUUCCUACUAAUCUUGUCCUAGCACAAGAAGACCAGAUCACCAAAGAGUACCUGUGUCAUCAGGUUUUCUCUACCAACGAUUGAAUUAAGAUUGAUGCUUCUAUCAGUAUCAUCUCUAGUUGUAUUAUUCACCACGAUUAUAUUCAGAUCAAUUCUGGAGUGCCUGAAUGCAGUUACAAGUUAUGAACCGAUUGGCGAUUGUACAAGGAGAAUUAAAGAUGACAAACAUCAGGGAUUCAGAUUGCUCUUGUUUAUGGUGGUUAUCCUGUUCACGUUGCUACGGGAAGUUCUAUUUAUCAGUGACAUAUGAUGCACCAGUUUUAAACACAUCUUGAGAUACCCUAAGUUGGUGAUACUUGGCUCUCAGGUCCAACUUUGUGAAGACUUGUGAACUAGCCAAUUCAUCAAUGAGUUGAUCCGCCACUAGAUAGGAUACUUGUCUUUGACGAUUCUAUUGUUGAGCUCCUUGUAAUCAAUACAGAGCCUCCAGUUGCUAUUUUUCUUUCCCACCAGCACUACAGGGGAGGCAAAAGGGUGGUUGUCUCAGUGUGAUGCAUUCAUCGUUCAUUUCUUUGAUGAGUUGCUCAAUUAUAUCCCUGUGUUUGAUUGGAUAUAUGUAUGGCCUUAUAUUAACAGGUUGAGAUGUUGUUAGUAAAGAAAUCUUAUGAUCAAAGACUCUUCUAAUUGGGGGUAAACAACUAGGUUAUAUGAAGAUACUAUGGAAGGUGUCCAACAAUGUAGAUAGUUGUGGAUAUGAGCUGGGCUCAACCUGUUGUGCGGAAUAGGUGAUGUGGUUGGGGAAAUGAGUAGUAGAGGAAUUCACUUGGAGCAAACACACAUGAGCAGCAGUUCGUAUCAUCUUUGAAAUUGUUGAACUAUCCAUAGCCUUCAAAUUUAGGUGGUACCACCCAGAACAUGCGACUUGUUGGCAGAAGUAAACUCCAUUUUCAGCUGUCUAAAAUUUCACUUGACUGUGCCUGAAGUAUUAAGCCAUUGGACUUCUAGUACUAUGUCACUUCCACCAAGGGGGGUCAUAAGAGCAUAUGUUGUAAAUUUGGCAAACGGCAGUUGCCAGGUGAAGCCCUUGCACACCAAUGAGCAUGAGAGCUGGUUGCCAUUAGCCACUGCGUGAGGGUGAACGGGUUCUAGCUUGCACCCAAGUUUUUGAGCAAGUCCCUGAUCAAGGAAGUUGUGAGUGCUUCCAUAAUGAAUUAAGAUAUGUAUAAGCUUCUUACCAUAGUAACAUGUGACUCUCAUUGUUUGGAAGCCUUGGCUUCCUGCUAAGUGCAUUCAUGGAAAUGCAUGGUUCAGUGGUCACUGAAUUAAACCCAACAUUUACUUCUACUAAAGCUUCUUUUGACAAUCAUUUUCAAAGUUCAAUUUAUCUUUAGUGCCGCGGAUUUCAAUAGUGGACAACUGAGUUUGUUUGAAUUGGCACUUGUGAUUCCCAUUACGAAAGAAGCAUAAUCCCUUAGCCUGCUUUCAGCUUUCUCAACAUAGCUCAAUCUUCUUAGGCUUUGUUGUGGUGUUAUUGUUGAAAUGUUGGUGGUGCAGGUAAUAAAGGUGGAAGAGGUGGUGGAGUGUGUUUAGGUGAAGGUAAUAGGGGUUUUUGGUGAGGUGUGGAAUAAUUGCCUCAGGAGAUCCUAAAUAGUAGCGCGCUCCGUUACUGGUAAUUCACGUAAGUGUGUCUGCACCCCUUGAGUGGAUGAGAAAGAAAGGAUUUCUUGGAGCGUGGAUUCAGUUUGAAGGCUUACACAAAGGGUUUCAGGUGAGGCCUGAAUCCUCCAAUGAAGCUAUCAAGGAAUUAUUGAUUAGGUAGUAAGGGGUUUUUGCUCACCAUCACUGCUCUUAACCUUUCAAAUGAGUCCAAGACUCCAAGUAAUCCUCUAUGGAAUCAAUUUGUUCAAGUUCAUUAAACUCUUCUAUAUUAGUACCACUAAUCUCUUCUUUAAGUCUGGCACAUAAAUCCAUCACAAAUUCUUCUCAUUCAAUAUAACUCUAACAGUAAUAUAAUUAUGAAAAUAAGAAUCUGCUAUACCAGUCAUGUGCACACUAGCCAAAUCUACUUUCUGAUAAUAAGAUAUCUUACAAAGCGUACAAUAUUUCAAGCAUUUCUUCAUCCAUAAUUUAGGACCAUUACCAUCAAACAUAGGAUACUCGAAGUUUAUACCUCGCCAUCCAUCGUUGAAAGUGUUUUAUGAAUUUUUCGCUUCCUUUGCUUUAUCCUUCAAUAAGCUGAGAAUUUCAUAUAACGCAUAGGAAUGGGCAAUCAGAUGUUGCUCCAAUAUAUUGAUCCUUUCAUCAAAUUGUGCCUUGAGCUAAUUUGCAGUCAGAUUUCUUGUCACAAGUGCCAGAUUUCACAAGAAAAU